GUUCGAACACAGCUUGAAGUGCGGGCAAAAUGUGAUACUGCAAAAAGUUUGCAGCAGUGGCGCGAAUGAAAAGGCAGCAAAAGGGCACCAGUGCAAAAGGGAUUAGGAACUAUUCGGUGUAUGUGCAUGGAACAGGGUUGGACCAUGAGGACCAUGAGGAGGACAAUAAGGAGGAAACCGUGGAAGAGGCAGAAUCGGAGCGCGGAAGAGCCUUUUCUCCGUCUCGCCCCACCGGCAGCAUAUCAUCGGCAGCACCCCAACGAGGGAUGGCACUCGCAGUGUUCGAUAGCGUAAGUUAUUAGUGAAGCUUGAACGUGAAGAUGAAAGAAAUUAAAUGUAAACU
This is a long non-coding RNA of Anopheles bellator, 343 nucleotides long. RefSeq lists it as uncharacterized. The record is from RefSeq and is a predicted model, not a curated record. Lineage: Eukaryota; Metazoa; Arthropoda; Insecta; Diptera; Culicidae. The transcript is spliced from 3 exons.